UAAUCUUUUGCGUUCUUCAAUGCUGUUUUCAGACUCCGGAUUUACUUUGGUAUUGUUUUCUCUCUUCCUGCAAAGCUGAGGCAGAGUUGGACUCCUUUACUGUGAGUUUAAAGAUGUGAAAAUAAGGCAUUGCUGGAAGCAACAGUUUGGCAGCCUGGGGUACACUCAGGUUAUUCGUUACAACUAUUAUUAUUUGAUGUCUUUUUUUAAACUCAGGUCAUCCACUUUUGACUGUCAUCCAUGGAAGAGCUCUUAUUAAAUGCCUCAGACUUUCGGGACCUAUGAUUCUUUGGCACAACCUUUUGGAAAAUUCUUAAGCGGGGAUGAAGCUAACUUGAUUGGAGUUGGGGAAAAAGAAGACAGAUUAGUAUUUUUCAUGCUGACAAAAAAUAGCUGCUAUGACUUUUCCCGCAACGUGGACAGGGGCCAAGUGAAGCUGAACUGGUCAUGGUCUGUCGCCCAGUGUUCCCUUGUCGUCGGCGAUUUUGCCCCCGACCCUUCUUGGUGGGCUUAGUGGUGGCAAUCUGUCUCUUCUACCAGACUCUGACCCUCCGAGGGUCGAGGAAGCUCACAGCCGCUGCCCCUGGGGCUGUCCCACACACAUCCACUGAAACCCAGGCAAGCAGAUGCAAGAAAGGAUUCUCUCAGGACAAACAGUGCUUCCUUCUCUCUGGUAAUGCCCAGGAAACCAGAAAGGUCAAAGAAUCAAUGGAGACACACUUUGGCAGCCAUGGCCGAAGGGCCAUACUCUACAGGCCUCCUUUCUACAGCAAAACAGAGCUUCAGCUACACCAGCACAUUCUGACUCAACAUGGCUAUACGGUUGUCAUCGCUGAAGAAAGGCUCAAUGCCGGCCUAGGGCUGGGGCUACUAGAACAAGGUGAUCUGGGCUCUUGGGAUCUGCUCAUUUGCCUGUCUUCUAAGAAAGCAGAAGGAACACCCUGUAUAUCCAAGGAAGUCAUGUGCCAGUUAGGUUUACAUCAAAAGCUCAGGCGGCGGGAGGAGCGGCAGCGGCCAGGCAGCCCAGCUUGGCGAAGGCUCUCGGUGCGAUGAGGCCUGCAGGCACCUGGCACGCACCCUCCUUGUCACCAGGAUGCCCAAGAAGAAGGUCAUGAAGGGACCAUCAAGGAAGAGCCCAAGAGGAGAUUGGCGCAGUUGUCAGCUAAACCUGCUCCUGCAAAAGUGGAAGCGAAGCUGAAAAAGGCAGCAGCGAAGGAUAAAUCUUCAGGCAAAAAUGUGCAAACAAAAGGGAAAAGGAGAGCAAAGGGAAAACAGGCCAAAGUGGCAAACCAAGAAACUAAAGAAGAUUUACCUGCAGAAAACGGGGAAAUGAAAACUGAGGAGAGUCCAGCCUCUGAUGAAGCAGGAGAGAAAGAAACCAAGUCUGAUUAAUACAGUAUACCAUGUCUUAUCAGCAGUCUCUGACUCCCUUCUUGUACAAUCCAGAGAAAUAUUUUUAUCAAUUAUUUUGUAAAUGCAAGUUUUUUAGUAGCUCUAGAAACAUUUUUAAGAAGGAGGGAAUCCCACCUCAUCCCAUUUUUUAAGUGUAAAUGCUUUUUUUUUUUUUGGAGGUAAAAUCAUUUGCUGGUUGUUUAUUUUUUUGGCACAACCAGAAAAUAGUGUGGGAUAUUGAAUUAUGGGAGGCCUUGACUGUCUCGGGUGUCAGCUUAACAUUCCAUAGAUGGGGGGUUAGUUUUUAUAUCCUAUAAAACAAAGCAUAUUAAAUGGAAAUAUGAAGUCAGUCCUGCAUUUAAUGUCUUGAACAUUUUAAAUUACUUCUAUUCCCUUGCUGUUUUUUAGUAGAAUUGUUUUCUAAAGAAAACCACUCUUUGAUCCUGGCUUCUCCCUGUCAGAAUUGUGUGCACUCUGUAAGAUCUGUGGUUGUGGUAGUCCUGUUUUCCUAAUAACUUUGUUAUGCUGUGAAAGAUUAAAAAUUUGAAUAUGUAGGGUAUAUGCUAUUCAGUUGUGAAUUGGUGAAAUGUAUGUAACAGCUUAUCAACAUGUGAAGAUAUUGAUAGCCUCUUAAGGAAAAUUUGCUUCCAAAUUUUAAGCUGGAAAGUCGCUGGAAUAACUUUAAAAAAGAAUUACAAUACAUGGCUUUUUAGAUUUUCGGUAUGUAUGUUAAGAAUUGUGUACAAGUUUAAGUGUCUGUACUGAUCCACAUCCAAUAAAAUCUCAAUUAUGAAAGAAAAAAAAAAAA
Molecule: small RNA, 2200 nt
Filed under: Pan troglodytes (chimpanzee)
Lineage: Eukaryota; Metazoa; Chordata; Mammalia; Primates; Hominidae
Description: processed transcript
Source: RNAcentral